GACAGAGGGUGCAAAUGUUGUUCGGAUUUACUGGGCGUAAAGCGCGUGUAGGCGGCUUUGCAAGUCGGAUGUGAAAGCCCACGGCUCAACCGUGGAAGUGCAUCCGAAACUGCAUGGCUCGAGUCUCGGAGAGGAAGGUGGAAUGCUUGGUGUAGAGGUGAAAUUCGUAGAUAUCAAGCAGAACACCUGCGGCGAAGGCGGCCUUCUGGACGAUGACUGACGCUGAGACGCGAAAGCGUGGGGAGCAAACAGG
This 253-nucleotide ribosomal RNA is filed under the name uncultured bacterium. RNAcentral describes it as "partial 16S ribosomal RNA". It matches the Rfam family "Bacterial small subunit ribosomal RNA", at positions 524 to 776 of the family's 1533-position model. The record is from RNAcentral.